GCCAGUGUGGCAUAGUGGUUUGAAUGUUGGACUACAACUCUAUAGAGACCUGGGUUCUAAUCCCAGCUCAGCCA
Non-coding RNA from Phrynosoma platyrhinos (Desert horned lizard), 74 nucleotides. The record is from the annotation of a GenBank genome assembly. Lineage: Eukaryota; Metazoa; Chordata; Lepidosauria; Squamata; Phrynosomatidae.